GCUUGGCCCAUCGCUUCAGGCAUCCUCCCAAGUCUCGACCAUUUUGCAUUUGCCCAACGUAUGUUCAGACUCAGCUGUCAGUCCAUAUCGGGAUUCUUUACCCAGGCGAACUCUCCAGCACUCAAAAAGGGAUCUUUCUUGCUCGCUGUUGCUGACGACUACAGCCAGCGUCACACGUCAAGGAAGAAGAGAAGGAAGAUACUGAAGAUUUCUACUAAAGGGCCAACUCAUAAUGUUUUACUAAUUCUUUACAGUGGGGUAGGUACAAUGCAAAAAUUUGAGGACUUUUCAAGGAGUUAUGUAGAUUUAUAAGCUAAAACAUCAAUUGGGUUUGGUGGAAAAUGGUGUCAAUACCAUCUAAAAACAUAUGGAUGAGGAGGCAGCAAUGUCCUUGUGGGGAUUGGAAAUGUUUUCUUGCAUACGAAGGAGAGGCUGAGGAUACUAUUAUUUCGCCCGAAAGUGCAGUUAAAAAUGUUGAUUUCGGGUCGUCCGAAGCUAUGGUUGCCCCUUAUGUGGGAAUGGUAUUCAAGAACGACAAUGACGCUUUCGAUUAUUAUGGUAAUUUUGCAAGAAAGAGUGGAUUUUCGAUUAGAAAAGAACGCUCGAGAUUGAGCCAACAACUUGGUGUUUACAAGAGAGACUUUGUUUGUUAUCGUGCUGGGUUUGCACCUGCGAGAAAGAAACCCACUGGGGAGCAUCAGAGGGAUAGGAAGUCUGCCCGGUGCGGGUGUGAUGCAAAGAUGUACUUGUCAAAGGAAGUGGUAGAUGGUGUUUCUCAAUGGUUUGUUGUGCAAUUCAGCAAUGUGCACAAUCAUGAGCUCCUGGAAGAUGAUCAAGUGCGUCUCCUUCCAGCUUAUCGUAAAAUUCAUGAGGCAGAUCAGGAGCGCAUUCUGUUGCUGUCAAAAGCUGGUUUUCCAAUACAUCGCAUUGUCAAGGUGCUUGAACUGGAAAAGGGAAUUCAAGGUGGACAACUGCCAUUUCUAGAAAGGGAUGUCAGAAAUUUUGUUCAAAAUCGCAAGAAACUCGUUCAAGAGACUGAUGCUUUAUUGAAUGAGAAAAGAGAAAAUGACACAAUGGAUCUUCUCGAGGCCUGCAGGGUGACUAAAGAGUCUGAUGCAUACUUCGUCUAUGAUGUCACUGUAGAUGAAAAUGACAAGGUGGAGAACAUUGCUUGGUCAUAUGGAGACUCAAUUCAUGCCUACAACAUGUUUGGUGAUGUAGUUUAUUUUGACACGACAUAUCGUUCAAUGACUUAUGGUAUGCUUUUUGGAGCAUGGCUAGGGAUCAACAACCAUGGAAAAAUUAUUUUCUUUGGUUGUGCUUUAUUGCAGGAUGAGACACCUCGUUCAUUUGCUUGGGCUUUACAGGCUUUUUGUCGUUUUGUGAAAGGAAGAUAUCCACAGACAAUUAUCACUGAUAUUGACCUCGGACUGAGAGAUGCUAUAAGAAGUGAAUUACCAAAUACCAGGCACAUUAUUUCUAUAUGGAACAUCCUACCAAAAGUGUUCAGUUGGUUCUCUCUUUUACUUGGACCAAGAUAUUCAGAACUCAAGUCUGAGCUUGAAGUAUUAUAUCACGUUGAGAGCACAGAAGAGUUUGAGUAUCAGUGGAGUCAAAUGGUUUCUCGGUUUGGACUUAACUCAGAUAGGCACAUUUCUUUGAUCUUUUCCCUCAGGCUGUUUUGGGCAUUGUCUUACAUAAGAGGUUGUUUUCUUGCACAAAUGGCAUCUAUAUCAUACUCGAAGUCUGUAGACACAUUUUUUAAAGGAAUUUUCAGUGCUCAGACUUGUUUGCGUAGCUUCUUUGAGCAGGUAGGAAUCUUAUCAAAUUACAAAGCUCAGGCAGCACAUGAGGACUUGCAGUAUAUGCAACUUCGGACAUGCUUACCUCUUGAACAGCACGCACGAAAUAUACUUACCCCAUUUGCGUUUAAUGCUUUACAGCAAGAAUUGAUCUUAUCUAUGCAAUAUGCUGCUUCUGAAAUGGCUAAUGGAUCAUAUCUUGUACGUCAUUUUAAAAAGAUGGAUGGGGAAUACCUUGUUAUAUGGAUUCCAGAAGAUGAACAAAUUCACUGUUCGUGCAAGGAAUUUGAGUCUUCAGGAAUCUUGUGUAGGCAUGCUCUUCGAGUACUUGUGGUGAAAAACUAUUUUGAGCUUCCUGACAAGUACUGUUUGAGUCGAUGGCGACAAGGAAACUCAUUAGUUUCUUAUGGUGAGCAUGGUAAUCAAAUUGGAAUUGAUAAAUGGUUUCAGGAAUUCAAUUGUCUUACAGAAACAUUAUUUUCUGAAGCAUCACUAGCAAAAGAGCGUUCUGAUUAUGUGCGUAAGGAAAUUACAAAAGAACUCACAAGACUCAUUAAUGAAGUAAGAGAUAUGCCAUGUAAUUGAAGGGCUAUUGUAACUUCAACACUCUUGACCAAUUAACGGAUUGUACUAGAAUCUGCUUAAGUAGAUGCACCUACUUAACAAGCUCUUUGUUUCCAAAACUGGGAUAUAAGGACAUCUAAGUGAUUUUACAAUCAGAAGGUUAUGGAGGGUGUGAAAUUUUGGAGAUGAAGAUUACAGCUUGAUAGUUUGGCAUGGCAGCUUCUCUAAUGACUAAGGGAUUACUACGUUAGCAUUAGCAUCCGCUGUCCCUGAUCAAUGGAAGAAAAGCCAAACAAAAUCUUCUCUGAUUUUGUUCUCCCUUGAGUUGGAAGUGUUUAUGAUCUGUUGUACGAUAGAAAAGGUUAUUUCUUCCUUUUUUCAUUAGCUUAUCUUUAUCUUAUGAAGAAGAGAAAUCCUUCAUGGGAGUCUGCAGUUUAAUCACUGAAUGGUUUUCACAUAGCUGAUAUGACCCAUUGUUAUGGGUUAAUUCUGUGUUUUGAUCGGGAGGGGAGAAGAAAAUCCUUUCAAACAUAUAGUGAGGGGGAAAAUAACCAGCCAGAGGUGAAUGGUUUGUGAAUGAAUUUUGGGAAAGUUUUUUAGGCAAAUUCUGAUGGUUCAAAUAAUGCCAUCUUUAGGAAUUUCUGUGCCUGUACAUGUACCCUUUCUAAUAUAUCCUGAUAGUCACUGUAAGUGGCAUCUUUCUUGUUUUCAUUUCGUUAUUUCCCAUGGAAUUGUCUUCAUUCUGUCUUUGAUAAUAUGGUUAAAUAGUCAGAUGUCCUUAAUGUUGAAUUUGUGAAGCGGAGUAUGUCAUCUUGAAGAGCCAGGAAAUGGAAGCUAAUACUUUGCUAUGACAAAGUUUAUGGAUUUUUCUCCCAUGUCAAACUAAGCAACUCUGAAUUACUUCCUUGUUCUUUUUAAGCUGGUAUGAUAAUAAAGUUUUCCCACUUAGCUAUCUCGUGGUACUGCCUGGUGGCCAGUUGGUGUAGUGCCCCCCAAUGCACAAAUAUUCUGACCUGUUUAUCUUUUUGUGUCUCUGACAGUAGAGAGGGAUGGCCUAUUUGAUGACAUGCAAAACAGAAAAUCGACCUAGUCCCUUUUCUUUCUUGUGCCUAUUUUUCAAUUCAUUCAUCCGGAUGUUACAAGUUUUCUUUUUCAUCAAACAGACUUGCAACUUGGAGCGGUAACUUGCAUUAGCGUGUUGCUGAUGAAAGAAACAGAAGAUGUGGUAGUUAAAAACUGUAUUUGAGUUAUCAACCGCAUAAUGUAUAGUUUCAGAUCACUGCUGUUGGCAUGUCCACCAAGAAGAGAAUGUUCAUUAAUCCUAAUUGUGUGUCAGAUUAUAGUGUGAUUAAUGUUUCUCAAUGUGGUAUUGUACUAGCUCAUAUGCUGUCAAUCUGGGGUUUCUAUCCUCGACCCCUGGAAGGAUACUCCACCAACUGCUGGGCAGCAUAAUUCACUAUCAUAUCUGGAAAAGGUGAAAAGCAAAAGAGAGUAAGAAAUAAACCAUUGCGGCCCUUAGUUGUCCCAAAAUCACAUGUUUUGCAUGUAUGCCUUGUUUAUCUUGGUAAAAAUCCACCUAUUCGUGUUGUUUGUCGUUAGGCAUUAUGGCUGAGCGUAGUUGCCUUGUUCAUAGUGUCAAAUUCGAUCUGUGCUGAACAUGGCUGAGGAUACGUACUUGUUCAUGGUGCUUCUGAUUAAGAAUA
RNA transcript from Coffea arabica (coffee), 4069 nucleotides. It is a transcript of the gene named putative protein FAR1-RELATED SEQUENCE 10, with no coding region annotated. Lineage: Eukaryota; Viridiplantae; Streptophyta; Magnoliopsida; Gentianales; Rubiaceae. The record is from RefSeq and is a predicted model, not a curated record.